AGGGCUGCCGGGAAAAAGGCAAAUGCUGUUUCCCAUUGGUUUACCAGUCAGAUAUGAUACCAGAGCUGUGGCGGCCAUUUUCUCAUCACUAGGGGAGAGCCUGCCUAGCAUGGAACCAGCACAGAGCAAGCAAAAUGAAAAGAACAGAAGCAUGUGGCAGCUAUGAAACUGCUCCACCCAGAUCUCCUGCUGUGAAGCGGUCACUGACUGACGCCCCACUGCUGCUCUCUGAAUCCACCGCCAUCUUGUGACCAAGACCACUCUUGCCACGGCUGCUCCCAGCUGGUGACCGGCAGGCUGGGAUACUGGCGCAGACCCGUUUCCGUGGGAGACGGGCCCGUGCAAGGGAGGCUGGAGAAGAGAGUGUCUAUCCUGGGCAACCAUGUGCCCAGCUUAAAAUUCUCAGCUUUUAUACUAAAGAAGGGGCGAAAGGAUGCUGUGGCCAACCAGGGAUCUCUGCCACUGUUACCUGGUGCUUCCGAGCACUUUUCUGGACCUGAUCACGGAAGGCUCCUCCGGCUGCUUCCCGUCCCGCCUGUGUCUAAUUACUCCCGGGCAGUCUUCCUUUUCAAUGUGGCUUACUUUCCGUCCGCCAUGCUACCACCCAAGUUCAAACUCGGUUAUCCUUCUCCUACUGUUGUAAAAAUAGCCUCUUGCCUCCUCACUCUCUAUGGCAAAUUCCUGCUGGUUAAGCCACCAGAUGAAGCUUCUUAAACACCGCUUUGUGCACCUUUCUUCCCAUUUCGGCCAUUGUCUGUGGGGAAGAGAACAACCCUCAUGUCUUGCUUACCCUGCGGGCCCUCCUCCAUCUGGCCUUUUUCAAACCUUUUGAAGCUCAGUCUUACCACAACCUGGCAAACUGGAGCCGCUUCUCGGCGCUCCUACACAGCUCCUCACCAGCUUCUCUCUUCCUGUCAACUGCCUGUUGUUGGCCCCACAUCCUCUCUCCUUCUCAACCUUCUCCUGGACUAUUGUUCUUUUGAAGACAAAGAGCUUGACUAUGCACAGUGAGAGUUGAUGGGUCCUCACUCCAUUCCACCAUUCCCACAACUCAAUGACUCUGUCUCCAUUUUUCCAUGUCUUCUCUAGUUUCUCCUCUCACUAUCUACUAAUUCUUCCCUCCUAUUUCUACUUCAAAUCCCUGUGGAUUGGCCACUGCUCAUGGUAGCACCUCUUGGACAGCGUUUCCUGCCCCUGAGCAGCUCCUAUUGGCUGUCCUCAGUUAAGACUACACUCUGGUCCCAUCAGCUGUGGCACAUGGGAGAGAAGAUCCCUGGGACGUGGCAUUGCCCCUUAGCAGUGUGGGGAGGGAAGAAGAGCCUGUGGGCAUGAAAGGACUGAGCCACCGUGUGUGUGUGUGGUGUCACAAAGGCCCGCUCUGCACUUCAGCUUCCCAAGGAGGCCAUUGAGUGCUAGCUUUUACCAAGCCUUUGGAGUGGUUCCUACUGCAGCUGCCGGGGACAAUAACAGCCGCAGCCAGGAGAGAUUUCUAGAGGACGUGCACAUCGCCACCUCUCAAAGCUCCCAGCCUCAGAGGUCACACGGGGCCAUUUCCACUGACUUCUCUAGGUCACACAGGCCAGCCAAGAUUCAACAUGGGGCGGGCCUACACAGGGGUGUGAACCCAGGAAGUGCGGCUCAUUGGGAGGCCGUCUUUGAAGACAGAGGGGCCCCUGUGCACGGAGAAGCAGAGGCGGAUUCCAAAGAGGGCAGCUGAGUGUGGGCACGUUUGGAGACCCAGCCGCGGACCUCGACUCCCAGGGGCCAAUCCUGCCCCUCUAGAAAGAGCCAAGUGGGGAGGAUGUUUCUUUAACAAAGACAUCACCUCUGGGCACAAUCUGACAAUCUGACAACCUGCCUGGCCUCAGGCUUCAGUUCUGCCUGAGUUCUUCCGUCUUUACUAGAUUUGGGGUGGAUCGGAGUGGGAAGAAGAGUGAAGAGGAAAUCUAUCUUGAUGGUGGAGACCAAAGGAAGGAUUAUGGGAUGAAGGUGGAAAGAAGUGAGAAUAAAUGUCCUCCUUCAACAGGCUACCGGGGAAAUCAAUGUUCGCUUGUUCCCGCCCUUACAAACCACACUCACCUUUCUCCAAAUCGUGACCCAAACCUUCUUCUUUAUGAAAAAUAAUAAAUACAACAAGAGCUACUAUUAACGAAUGCUUACUGCAGGC
Molecule: long non-coding RNA, 2167 nt
Organism: Equus caballus (horse)
Lineage: Eukaryota; Metazoa; Chordata; Mammalia; Perissodactyla; Equidae
Source: RefSeq, a predicted model, not a curated record